RNAcentral lists this ribosomal RNA (1000 nucleotides) under uncultured organism. Its description in RNAcentral is "bacterial SSU rRNA". It matches the Rfam family "Bacterial small subunit ribosomal RNA", at positions 356 to 1376 of the family's 1533-position model. The record is from RNAcentral.
GGGGGAUAUUGCGCAAUGGGGGCAACCCCGACGCAGCAACGCCGCGUGAAGGAUGAAGGUUUUCGGAUUGUAAACUUCUUUUAUUAAGGACGAAAAAUGACGGUACUUAAUGAAUAAGCUCCGGCUAACUACGUGCCAGCAGCCGCGGUAAUACGUAGGGAGCAAGCGUUGUCCGGAUUUACUGGGUGUAAAGGGUGCGUAGGCGGCUUUGCAAGUCAGAUGUGAAAUCUAUGGGCUCAACCCAUAAACUGCAUUUGAAACUGUAGAGCUUGAGUGAAGUAGAGGCAGGCGGAAUUCCCCGUGUAGCGGUGAAAUGCGUAGAGAUGGGGAGGAACACCAGUGGCGAAGGCGGCCUGCUGGGCUUUAACUGACGCUGAGGCACGAAAGCGUGGGUAGCAAACAGGAUUAGAUACCCUGGUAGUCCACGCUGUAAACGAUGAUUACUAGGUGUGGGGGGUCUGACCCCUUCCGUGCCGGAGUUAACACAAUAAGUAAUCCACCUGGGGAGUACGGCCGCAAGGUUGAAACUCAAAGGAAUUGACGGGGGCCCGCACAAGCAGUGGAGUAUGUGGUUUAAUUCGAAGCAACGCGAAGAACCUUACCAGGUCUUGACAUCCAACUAACGAAGUAGAGAUACAUUAGGUGCCCUUCGGGGAAAGUUGAGACAGGUGGUGCAUGGUUGUCGUCAGCUCGUGUCGUGAGAUGUUGGGUUAAGUCCCGCAACGAGCGCAACCCUUGCUAUUAGUUGCUACGCAAGAGCACUCUAAUAGGACUGCCGUUGACAAAACGGAGGAAGGUGGGGACGACGUCAAAUCAUCAUGCCCCUUAUGACCUGGGCUACACACGUACUACAAUGGAUGUUAACAGAGGGAAGCAAGACAGCGAUGUGGAGCAAACCCCUAAAAACAUUCUCAGUUCAGAUUGCAGGCUGCAACCCGCCUGCAUGAAGAUGGAAUUGCUAGUAAUCGCGGAUCAGCAUGCCGCGGUGAAUACGUUCCCG